AGGGUUCGAUUCUGGCUCAGAACGAACGCUGGCGGCAGGCUUAACACAUGCAAGUUGAACGGGAUUAAUUAGUAGCUUGCUAUUAAUUAUGAGAGUAGCGCACUGGUGAGUAACACGUGGGAACGUACCUAUUGGUGGGGGACAACAGUUGGAAACGACUGCUAAUACCGCAUAAGCCCUGAGGGGGAAAGAUUUAUUGCCGAUAGAUCGGCCCGCGGAAGAUUAGGUAGUAGGUGGGGUAACGGCCUACCUAGCCGACGAUCUAUAGCUGGUCUAAGAGGACGAUCAGCCACAUUGGAACUGAGACACGGUCCAGACUCCUACGGGAGGCAGCAGUGAGGAAUAUUGGGCAAUGGAGGCAACUCUGACCCAGCCAUGCCGCCGUGAGUGAAGAAGGUUUUCGGAUUGUAAAGCUCUUUCAGAUGAGAAGAUGAUGACGGUAUCAUCAGAAGAAGCACCGGCUAACUUCGUGCCAGCCGCUGC
RNAcentral lists this ribosomal RNA (483 nucleotides) under uncultured bacterium. RNAcentral describes it as "bacterial SSU rRNA". It matches the Rfam family "Bacterial small subunit ribosomal RNA", at positions 8 to 518 of the family's 1533-position model. The record is from RNAcentral.